Pavo cristatus (Indian peafowl) is the source of this 1917-nucleotide long non-coding RNA. The record is from Ensembl. Lineage: Eukaryota; Metazoa; Chordata; Aves; Galliformes; Phasianidae.
GCCUAAGCUAUUUCAGUGUCUGUUCAGCUGGUACACAACCCGUGGAUCGGAAGGCAGGGGCGUGUUUGUCUGUGGUUGGGGGCUGAGGCUGGGGUUGUGCCUCAGCGGUGAAGCUGGGCGUUGCAGGGCAGCACAGCUUGGUUAUGGAACUGCUUCUCCAUGCAGAGAAGGUAUGUGUGUAAUGGGAGCCAGGCCCACAUCGCUGGGGCUCCUGUGAGGUGUUCCCCAGGGCUGAUUCGUUCACUGAGUGCUUUACUCAGUCAGAUCGCUUCUGUCUGUGACAGCUGUCUGUGUUUACCCCCCCUACACUCCCCUCCAGCAUCGAUGGGGAAGGCUGUGAGGAAAAGUGCUACAAAAGCCAACAAACUGGGUAAGUUUAGAAUUCCCUAGCCACGCAUCCGUGCUGAUAGCCGCUCAUGAGCAGAUGUUGAAAGGCAGCAGUGGGCGACUGUGGGUUCCUGUGGGCCGUGCCUGAGGCGGGCAGCCCGCACAGAUCGGCGGGGCCGGGCCCUCCCUGAGCUCCUCUGCACCUGCGUUGGGGAGGGGUGAGUGCUGUAAGCGCAGGUGAAGCCAAUGAGGCGUUCCCGCCCUGUGUCGAGGAGAGCCCUGGCCUGAAAUGGCGGGCGGGCAGCGCGGGGUGAGUGUGGAGGAGCGCUGCGGGGGGAGCUGAGAGAGGAACCCCACGGAAUUGCGCUGUGGAGGUGAGCGCCGGGAAGGCUGGGAGGCGGCCCACAGAACAGAGGCCGGCGGGACGGGCCGUGCGGCUGGGGCGGAGCGGGGUUCGGCGUGCCCGGCGCCUAUAGCAACAGCUGCCUCAAACACCGCCGGAGCGUCCCCGAGCAGGUCACGAUGUCCCAGCACGAGGAUCACCCCAAGCGACGCCAUCUGCUCCUGCUCUCUGAGCUCCCUCGGUCCUCUCUGGGACGUGAGGGCCCGGGACGAGCUCGUGGGGCUCCCCUGGGUGAUGUCCUCACGCCCCGCGAGAGGGCGCUGCUCCGUGUCCCAGCUGCCAGCCGGCCAGCAGAGCGGGGAGAGCCUAGCCCACCACGGGGGGACCCACGGGCACCGGAGCUGCUGGAGGCUCAUCAGCGCCAUGUGGCUGAAAUCCAGGCCAGGACCCAACAGCUAGAGCAGCAGAGAGAGCAGCUGUGCCGGCGCCUGGCAUUGCUGCGCAACAAGCAUCUGUCACCAGAAAUGAGCUGGGCUGCGGAGGUGCAGUCAGACAGAGAUGGGCACCAGUACCGAGGGGCUGCCCUCCACUUCAACGCUCUCCUGCCACCCUCCGGGCCACUGGCGGCUGAGGCCAGGGCGCUGCAGCUCUCCUACCUGCGUGCUGGUGGCUGCGACGAGGCCACCCUGGCACAGCUGCUAGAUCUCCAACUGGAGGCCACGGCGCUGGAGAAAAGGGCUGUGCAGAAGAUGAGUAAGCACCAGCCCCAUCACAGAGCCCAGGGACAGGACCCCAUUGCUGUUGAGACAGCACAGGGCCUCGAUGCAGCACUGAUGGCUGUGGAGCUGGAGAACCAGCGGCUCGAGGAUGAGCUCCUGGCAUUGAAGGUUCGGAGGGAGAUGCGAGCUGAUGUCGGAUCACUGGCAGCCCGGCAGCAUGCAGAGGAGCUGGCUCAGCUGCAGGCAAAGGUGGAGUUGCUGCUGCGACGCCAGGCAGAAGGGGUGGGGCCGCGCCUGCCCCCUGCCGUCCUCCCACCGCCCGUGGCCCCUGUGCUCCCCCCAGCCUUAGCUCUGGCGGAGCCACUGAGGCCAACCCUGAGGGCAGGCAGCCCCACAGCCUCCAGGCGCCCACUUGCACCCUCUAGCCUCCCCAGCAUCCCCUUUGGAGCCCUGGAUGACCCCCCUCCUACUCAGAAGGUACCAGCUCAGCACAAAAGCCCUGAGAGACACUUCUCACGGUACAUUUAG